RNAcentral lists this unclassified non-coding RNA (288 nucleotides) under Filobasidiaceae sp. Its description in RNAcentral is "partial contains 5.8S ribosomal RNA, internal transcribed spacer 2, and large subunit ribosomal RNA". Lineage: Eukaryota; Fungi; Basidiomycota; Tremellomycetes; Filobasidiales; Filobasidiaceae. The record is from RNAcentral.
CGCACCUUGCGCUCUUUGGUAUUCCGAAGAGCAUGCCUGUUUGAGUGUCAUGAAAUCAUCAACCAGCAGAGCCCUUUGUGGCUUUUGCAGGCUUGGAUUUGAAGGCUUGUCGGCUUUGUCGGCUCCUUUUAAAUGCAUUAGCUCGAGUCCUUGUGGAUCGGCUUCCGGUGUGAUAAUUGUCUACGCCGUGGCCGUGAAGCGUUAUGGCGAGCUUCUAGUCGUCCUGUCAAUGGGACAUUACAUUUGACCUCUGACCUCAAAUCAGGUAGGACUACCCGCUGAACUUAA